This 596-nucleotide ribosomal RNA is filed under the name Aspergillus flavus. RNAcentral's name for it is "eukaryotic LSU rRNA". The stretch from base 212 to 365 matches the Rfam family "5.8S ribosomal RNA". Lineage: Eukaryota; Fungi; Ascomycota; Eurotiomycetes; Eurotiales; Aspergillaceae. The record is from RNAcentral.
CCGUAGGUGAACCUGCGGAAGGAUCAUUACCGAGUGUAGGGUUCCUAGCGAGCCCAACCUCCCACCCGUGUUUACUGUACCUUAGUUGCUUCGGCGGGCCCGCCAUUCAUGGCCGCCGGGGGCUCUCAGCCCCGGGCCCGCGCCCGCCGGAGACACCACGAACUCUGUCUGAUCUAGUGAAGUCUGAGUUGAUUGUAUCGCAAUCAGUUAAAACUUUCAACAAUGGAUCUCUUGGUUCCGGCAUCGAUGAAGAACGCAGCGAAAUGCGAUAACUAGUGUGAAUUGCAGAAUUCCGUGAAUCAUCGAGUCUUUGAACGCACAUUGCGCCCCCUGGUAUUCCGGGGGGCAUGCCUGUCCGAGCGUCAUUGCUGCCCAUCAAGCACGGCUUGUGUGUUGGGUCGUCGUCCCCUCUCCGGGGGGGACGGGCCCCAAAGGCAGCGGCGGCACCGCGUCCGAUCCUCGAGCGUAUGGGGCUUUGUCACCCGCUCUGUAGGCCCGGCCGGCGCUUGCCGAACGCAAAUCAAUCUUUUUCCAGGUUGACCUCGGAUCAGGUAGGGAUACCCGCUGAACUUAAGCAUAUCAAUAAGCGGAGGAAG